This 253-nucleotide ribosomal RNA is filed under the name uncultured bacterium. RNAcentral's name for it is "partial 16S ribosomal RNA". It matches the Rfam family "Bacterial small subunit ribosomal RNA", at positions 524 to 776 of the family's 1533-position model. The record is from RNAcentral.
UACAGAGGUCUCAAGCGUUGCUCGGAUUCAUUGGGCGUAAAGGGUGCGUAGGUGGCAUGGUAAGUCGGAUGUGAAAUCCCGGGGCUCAACCCCGGAACUGCAUUCGAUACUGCUGCGCUAGAGUACUGGAGAGGAGAUUGGAAUUUACGGUGUAGCAGUGAAAUGCGUAGAUAUCGUAAGGAAGACCAGUGGCGAAGGCGGAUCUCUGGACAGUUACUGACACUGAGGCACGAAGGCCAGGGGAGCAAACGGG